This 586-nucleotide ribosomal RNA is filed under the name uncultured bacterium. Its description in RNAcentral is "partial 16S ribosomal RNA". It matches the Rfam family "Bacterial small subunit ribosomal RNA", at positions 355 to 935 of the family's 1533-position model. The record is from RNAcentral.
UGGGGAAUUUUGGACAAUGGGCGCAAGCCUGAUCCAGCCAUGCCGCGUGCGGGAAGACGGCCUUCGGGUUGUAAACCGCUUUUGUCAGGGAAGAAAUCUUCUGAGUUAAUACCUCGGGAGGAUGACGGUACCUGAAGAAUAAGCACCGGCUAACUACGUGCCAGCAGCCGCGGUAAUACGUAGGGUGCAAGCGUUAAUCGGAAUUACUGGGCGUAAAGCGUGCGCAGGCGGUUUUGUAAGACAGAGGCGAAAUCCCCGGGCUCAACCUGGGAACUGCCUUUGUGACUGCAAGGCUUGAGUGCGGCAGAGGGGGGAUGGAAUUCCGCGUGUAGCAGUGAAAUGCGUGGAUAUGCGGAGGAACACCGAUGGCGAAGGCAAUCCCCUGGGCCUGCACUGACGCUCAUGCACGAAAAGCGUGGGGGAGCAAAACAGGAUUAGAUACCCUGGUAGUCCACGCCCUAAACGAUGUCAACUGGUUGUUGGGAAGGUUCCUUCUCAGUAACGUAGCUAACGCGUGAAGUUGACCGCCUGGGGAGUACGGCCGCAAGGUUGAAACUUAAAUGAAUUGACGGGGUCAUAGCUGUUU